This 407-nucleotide ribosomal RNA is filed under the name uncultured bacterium. RNAcentral describes it as "bacterial SSU rRNA". It matches the Rfam family "Bacterial small subunit ribosomal RNA", at positions 505 to 916 of the family's 1533-position model. The record is from RNAcentral.
GUGCCAGCAGCCGCGGUAAUACGUAGGGUGCAAGCGUUAAUCGGAAUUACUGGGCGUAAAGGGUGCGUAGGCGGUCCAUUAAGUCUGAUUUGAAAUACCAUGGCUCAACCAUGGGGGUGGAUUGGAAACUGGUGGACUUGAGCGUAGGAGAGGAAGGUGGAAUUCCAUGUGUAGCGGUGAAAUGCGUAGAGAUGUGGAGGAACACCAGUGGCGAAGGCGGCCUUCUGGCUUACCCCUGACGCUGAGGCACGAAAGCGUGGGGAGCAAACAGGAUUAGAUACCCUGGUAGUCCACGCCGUAAACGAUGAGUACUAAGUGUCGGUCGAAAGAUCGGUGCUGAAGUUAACGCAAUAAGUACUCCGCCUGGGAAGUACGGUCGCAAGACUGAAACUCAAAUGAAUUGACGG